This is a long non-coding RNA of Helianthus annuus (common sunflower), 604 nucleotides long. RefSeq lists it as uncharacterized. The transcript has 3 exons. Lineage: Eukaryota; Viridiplantae; Streptophyta; Magnoliopsida; Asterales; Asteraceae. The record is from RefSeq and is a predicted model, not a curated record.
UUAUUUUAAGUUAAUAGUGUACUGGUUAUAACUAAUAUCAAAUCUUUACUAAUACUUGAUUUCUUUUUAUGAUGGUUGACUUUGCGAGAACUAACGGAGCAUUAGUGUCAAGAAUGGGCUGAGAUUCGAAUUCAGUCGGUUUUUCGCUCUUUUUUGACAAAAAGGGAUCAAGAUCGGGACCGUCCAUUUGACUUCACACGGAUCACCAUCUGCUUUCUCUCUCAAUGCUCACACAUCUGACAAAAAGGGAUGCCAAAAGCAGGGAAGUACAAUCUACAGGAAAAAGCAACACUUUACUUUUGUGUGAAAGACAGCUUGCUUGCUGCAGUCUCUAUAAUAUAUCAACACUCUUCCAUACACUGUUUGAAAGACAGCACUGCUUCCUUCAGUCUCUAUAAAUAAUCCAGAGAUAUCUACACUCUACUCACACUUUACAAACUCUCAACUACACUCAACUGAAAUUAAUAUAUCAACUCUUUGCAUUCGGAUCUUGCGUUGUUUCUCGGCUCUCACAUCAAGGUUUUAAAAUUUUUGUCGGCUUUUCACAUCUCCCUCUUGCAUUGUUGUAAGUUCUUUCAAAUAUGACAUAGUGAACGGAUAAAUU